This 483-nucleotide ribosomal RNA is filed under the name uncultured bacterium. Its description in RNAcentral is "partial 16S ribosomal RNA". It matches the Rfam family "Bacterial small subunit ribosomal RNA", at positions 36 to 507 of the family's 1533-position model. The record is from RNAcentral.
UCCUCCCUCUUUCUUCGUGCUUAACACAUGCAAGUCGAACGCUGAAGCUCAGCUUUUGUUGGGUGGAUGAGUGGCGAACGGGUGAGUAACACGUGAGUAACCUGCCUCCUUCUUUGGGAUAACGCCCGGAAACGGGUGCUAAUACUGGAUAUUCACUGGUCUUUGCGUGGGGGUUGGUGGAAAGGGUUUUUCUGGUGGGGGAUGGGCUCGCGGCCUAUCAGCUUGUUGGUGGGGUGAUGGCCUACCAAGGCUUUGACGGGUAGCCGGCCUGAGAGGGUGACCGGUAACAUUGGGACUGAGAUACGGCCCAGACUCCUACGGGAGGCAGCAGUGGGGAAGAUUGCACAAUGGGCGCAAGCCUGAUGCAGCGACGCAGCGUGAGGGAUGGAGGCCUUCGGGUUGUGAACCUCUUUCGCUCAUGGUCAAGCCGAAACAAUGGUUGUGGUGAGGGUAGUGGGUAAAGAAGCGCCGGCUAACUACGUG